This 322-nucleotide long non-coding RNA is filed under the name Brassica napus (rape). RNAcentral describes it as "long non-coding RNA (BNAP_LNC017426)". Lineage: Eukaryota; Viridiplantae; Streptophyta; Magnoliopsida; Brassicales; Brassicaceae. The record is from RNAcentral.
AUUUCCAUCUUUUUUUUCUUUUUAGGAAUUUCUUUUUCGACGACAUCUAACAAUAUUAAAAGGGGAAUAUGAAGCUCUCUUAACAUAUCCAUAUCAGAUGGAAAAAUUAACCACUAAUAUUGCAGCAAUCAUCCAUGUCAUCUUUGAUUAAUCUUGAUUUCGGCUUCGUAUUUUGUUUUGGGUUUCUUCUUUUACCUUUCCUUAGUUUGUUUUAGGCUUCUUCUCUUAGCUUUGUCAACUCAUUCUCUCUUCUCUCUUUGAUGAUUCCGCCGUUCUUCUCUUACCUUUCGACUUCCACAUCUUCCAUUACUCUUCUCUCCAA